CGUAGGGAGCAAGCGUUGUCCGGAAUCAUUGGGCGUAAAGCGCGCGUAGGCGGCCCUGUAAGUCCGUUGUGAAAGUCAAAGGCUCAACCUUUGAAAGCCGAUGGAUACUGCAGGGCUAGAGUUCGGAAGAGGCGAGUGGAAUUCCUGGUGUAGCGGUGGAAUGCGCAGAUAUCAGGAGGAACACCAAUAGCGAAGGCAGCUCGCUGGGACGAUACUGAACGCUAAAGGCGCGAAAGCGUGGGAGCGAACAGGAUU
Molecule: ribosomal RNA, 255 nt
Filed under: uncultured bacterium
Lineage: Bacteria
Description: partial 16S ribosomal RNA
Rfam family: Bacterial small subunit ribosomal RNA
Source: RNAcentral